CCCAUGGCUCAAAAGUGAGAAUAAAUAAAUAAACAUUUUACAUUUGAAAACCAAUAAGCCUAUUCAUCUUUAGUUGGGCGUGAUCACGGCCUGUGCAUACGCAAGACCUACGGGAAAAACUGGUUAACAAAUACCGAUUAACCGAUAAACUGUCUGAGAGAACGUCUGAAUGCUUAUAAUAUCACCGCACUAACCGUGUAGUGGACACUAUUGUCCUGAAGUGAAACCACGCAAUAGAUUUUGGAAAUCGGUCAUAACACCGAGAUCAAGAGCGCCCAGGUUCUUGAAUUUGGAGGGAAUAGAACCAUGGCGUUGAAAAUUACUUGAGUUGGCAUCAUUGUCGUGACAGUGGAGAGUCUUAACCCCCUACAACUGUUGAGAAUCAUUACCACACUGCUGCAACCAGGACAGUCUCUCAAGGUACACAAUGACUUUACCCCACCUUGCUGGCACGGCAUUUUACAUCCUACUGAAAAUUUACCCUGAUGGAAAUGGUCAUGAAAUGGCGGUUGAUUAUGGCGUCCAGAUAACUGCACCACGGCUCGGCUCCUUCACGGAUAAAAGCAUGACCCGUUUCCCCUGCCGUUUGGCGUCACAUGUUAGUGUGGAAGGCCCGUGGGAGGGACAGAGGGAUUAGGCCCAAACCGCACUAUUCCAGAUGGAAGAUGUGGCCCUGACAGUGCUGUUACUUUCCAUAACCGCACGCAGGUUUGCCCGAUUGCAUGAUAAAGUACACCACUGUAAACUGAGACCAGUCUGCAGGGCUGAGUAGGACUACAGAGUAAACUGUCACUCACGUGGACCAGCUGGCUGGAAGAUGGCGAUGGCUCACUGAUGUGUGCUAAAAUACACUUGAUUGACUAACUGGUUAAUUGAUUGAUUGAUUGAUUGACUGAUUGACAGCACAUGGAGUCAGCAGUGUCUAAGUCUGGUUCUAGUUUCUUUUAUGUCCUGAAACAGGACACAAAAUAAUUACAUUGAGUGUAUGCACCUCAACAGUAUCACAAUGGUGUAUAUUGUGACAUGCAUACAUACAUAUGCCCAGCCCUAUUGGUUAUGACAGUCUCAGGAGUCUUGGUGUUUUUCUUGAAGGUUAGAACUAACCAAACUCAUCUGGAUGGUUGCAUGAGGUGUGUGUUCUUGGUGCCUUUGCAUUAAAGGGUUUUCUUCACAAUGAAAAAACACCACAUCCUGUUGGCAUUAGAGUAAAAAAAAAAAGGAUCCACUUUGUAAACAGUGCAAUUUUGGCCAUGCCCAUGUUCAAUCCUUUGAUGCUGAGAUCCAGACGACUAGGGUCAUUUAUUUUGCUGGCACACACACACGCACACACGCACACACGCACGCACACGCACACACACGUACACAGACACACACACAUACACACCCUCACCCACAUGUUUACUGAAGUUUUUCCCUUAGAAAAUAUGCCACAAGUGUACAUGACAGCAGUUUGCUGAGACCAUGAACCUACACCUGGAGCACACGCACAGUCCCUGGAUCUCUCUGCCAGAGGACUAGCUUUGAUUUCAGCUGGCCGUUUGGAACUGAGCGCGCGGUUGGUCCUGGCUGCAUCGCAUGAAGACAUUUGUUCAGUAGUGCAUGCUGAUACUGUACAGAGAGGGUAUUGCUGCCAGGACUGAUCACAAUACUGCAUAAAUUCUCCUGGAUUAAUGAACAAUCAAAGGACUGGCUAUGGAUCUAAGCCAAGCCCCAUAGGGUACCCAGAAAACAUGCAUGAUCAAAAACAACAAUGAAGAAGAAACGACUGAGUUAUCACCUAGCUUUCAAUGCACACUGUGCCAUUGGAAUUAUACAUGCCAACACACAUAGUCGGUUUAGGUCUUGUGUUGACUUUUGUGCAGUGUGCAUUGAUAAGAGGAAUCCAUUGUGACAUUUUUCAUUUGUGAAGAUAAAUUUCCCUGCACAAGCCAGAGGGUAUGCACUGGAGAAAAGCACACACAAUGCAGUGAAAUGUAUGUGCCUUAUUAUCAUAUAAAUUACAUCCCGUGCAUGACUCUAAUCUCCAUUUAUUUGGCUCGAUUCACAUGUUUAAUUCAAUGGCCAAUUUGAACAUUUGAAAUAGGAGACUUUCAUGUUGCAGCCUCUCAGUAGAGGAGGGUAUUUGCUAUCUCUCUAUCUGCAACGUGAAAUUAAUAGCAGGAUUAUAUCCUGGAGGUUCAGGUAUUUCAGCAGAAGAUUGCACACCAUCAGCAUCAUAAUGCCUUAAUGGAUAUGGCUAUAGAUAUGGAUGAUGUUAGAGUGAUGUUCAUGUACUUAUCAAAACAAAUAGAUGCUACAGUAUCUCAAAGCAAA
This is a long non-coding RNA of Anguilla anguilla (European eel), 2313 nucleotides long. RefSeq lists it as uncharacterized. The transcript is spliced from 3 exons. The record is from RefSeq and is a predicted model, not a curated record. NCBI's taxonomy places the organism in Eukaryota, Metazoa, Chordata, Actinopteri, Anguilliformes, Anguillidae.